AUACGUAGGGGGCAAGCGUUGUCCGGAAUUACUGGGCGUAAAGAGCUCGUAGGCGGCUCAGCAAGUCGGUCGUGAAAGCCCGAGGCUCAACCUCGGAACUGCGGUCGAUACUGCUGUGACUAGAGUCCGGUAGAGGAGAGUGGAAUUCCCGGUGUAGCGGUGGAAUGCGCAGAUAUCGGGAGGAACACCAGUGGCGAAGGCGGCUCUCUGGGCCGGUACUGACGCUGCGGAGCGAAAGCGUGGGGAGCAAACAGGAUUAGAUACCCCAGUAGUCC
This 275-nucleotide ribosomal RNA is filed under the name uncultured bacterium. RNAcentral describes it as "partial 16S ribosomal RNA". It matches the Rfam family "Bacterial small subunit ribosomal RNA", at positions 523 to 796 of the family's 1533-position model. The record is from RNAcentral.